GACGAACGCUGGCGGCGUGCUUAACACAUGCAAGUCGAACGGAAAGGCCCGGCGUUUGUGGGUUGCUCGAGUGGCGAACGGGUGAGUAACACGUGAGUAACCUGCCCUUGACUUUGGGAUAACUUCAGGAAACUGGGGCUAAUACCGGAGAGGAGCUCCUGCAGCAUGGUGGUGGUUGGAAAAUGUCGGCUGUUGGGGCUGGACUCGCGGCUUAUGAGCUUGUUGGGGGGGUAGUGGCUUACCAAGGCUUUGACGGGUAGCCGGCCUGAGAGGGUGACCGGCCACAUUGGGACUGCGAGACGGCCCAGACUGCUACGGGAGGCAGCAGUGGGGAAUCUUGCACAACGGGGGGAAGCCUGAUGCAGCAACCCCGCGUGCGGGAUGCCGGCCUUCGGGUUGUAAACCGCUUUCGACUGUGACGAAGCGUGAGUGACGGUAAUGGGUAAAGAAGCACCGGCUAACUACGUG
Molecule: ribosomal RNA, 468 nt
Filed under: uncultured bacterium
Lineage: Bacteria
Description: partial 16S ribosomal RNA
Rfam family: Bacterial small subunit ribosomal RNA
Source: RNAcentral